RNAcentral lists this non-coding RNA (29 nucleotides) under Mus musculus (house mouse). The record is from RNAcentral. Lineage: Eukaryota; Metazoa; Chordata; Mammalia; Rodentia; Muridae.
UGUUUAGUGUCUAUUACAAAGUUGAUGGA